Molecule: ribosomal RNA, 440 nt
Filed under: uncultured bacterium
Lineage: Bacteria
Description: partial 16S ribosomal RNA
Rfam family: Bacterial small subunit ribosomal RNA
Source: RNAcentral
CUACGGGAGGCUGCAGUGAGGAAUAUUGCACAAUGGGGGGAACCCUGAUGCAGCAACGCCGCGUGGAGGAUGACGCAUUUCGGUGUGUAAACUCCUUUUAUAUGUCAAGAAAAUGACGGUAGCAUAUGAAUAAGCACCGGCUAACUCCGUGCCUGCAGGCCGCGGUAAUACGGAGGGUGCAAGCGUUACUCGGAAUCACUGGGCGUAAAGGACGCGUAGGCGGGUUGGAAAGUCAGGUGUGAAAUCCUACAGCUUAACUGUAGAACUGCACUUGAAACUUCUAAUCUAGAGUAUGGGAGGGGGAGAUGGAAUUAGUGGUGUAGGGGUAAAAUCCGUAGAUAUCACUAGGAAUACCUAAAGCGAAGGCGAUCUCCUGGAACAUUACUGACGCUAAGGCGUGAAAGCGUGGGGAGCAAACAGGAUUAGAUACCCCAGUAGUC